AAGUCGUAACAAGGUUUCCGUAGGUGAACCUGCGGAAGGAUCAUUAACACGUAUCCAACGUUAAACAACCCUGUGAACCUUGAACGUGCUCCUGCAGCCCCAUGAAAUCAGCAAUCCCUGGUAAAUCAUUGUUGACCAGCUUUUGAGUCAGGGACCUCUGCCGAAACGGCUGUUCAGUACCGAGCGCGGUGUAAGCGACCUGGCAUCCCCAAGCGAUCAGUGUCUGAAAGUGUCAUUGAUAUUGUGUAAGGAUGGCGCAGUAAACGAUUGCUAGAGGCCCACACGGCCGGCAACCGGGUCCCAGGGCUCACGCCCCUUUAUCACCCCACAGUUUCCGACUGGGCAGCCGAUAAUACGGACGCCGUAAAAAACUGAACAACUGUUAACAAUGGAUAUCUUGGUUCUC
RNAcentral lists this unclassified non-coding RNA (406 nucleotides) under fungal sp. RNAcentral describes it as "partial internal transcribed spacer region". The stretch from base 1 to 46 matches the Rfam family "Eukaryotic small subunit ribosomal RNA", at positions 1786 to 1831 of the family's 1831-position model. Lineage: Eukaryota; Fungi. The record is from RNAcentral.